Long non-coding RNA from Anolis carolinensis (green anole), 2922 nucleotides. The record is from Ensembl. NCBI's taxonomy places the organism in Eukaryota, Metazoa, Chordata, Lepidosauria, Squamata, Anolidae.
AAAGAUGCUGUUGCAAGCCAGCAGCUCGCUGUUCUCAUGGCCUACUAUGCCAGGAGCCCCCCGUGGCACAGUGGGUUAAACCUUUGUGCCAGCAGACUGAUGACUGAAGGCUGCCAGUUCAAAUCCAACCUGGGGAAAGCACAGAUGAGCUCCCUCUAUCAGCUCCAGCUCCAUGCGGGGACAUGAGAAAAGCCUCCCACAAGGAUGGAAUUCUGUGACUCUGGCCAUCUCUGAAGUAAUGCCCAGCCUUCCUGACACAUCUGAAUCCAUCCUACCUGAUUCUUCCUUGCCUUCAAAGAGAUGUUCUCUUUUGACAAAAGUGGAGCAGCUGGGUCACCAGUAGUUCAUUUAUUUGUUAACCUUUCCUUUGUUUAUGGAGCUACCAGUGCAAAACUUGUCCAAACAAAGUUUGUUAUGGAAAGCUUUAGUAUAGGUCUAACAAAAUCCCCAGAAUGAAUGUAUGACUAAUAAUAAUAAUAAGAAGAAGAAGAAGAAGAAGAAGAAGAUCGAACUACAAAGACUCUGGCAGAAGCCAGUCAAGGUGGUCCCAGUGGUGAUCGGCACACUGGUGCAGUGUGUAAAGACCUUGGCCUGCACUUGAACACAAUCGGCGCUGACAAAAUUACCACUUGCCAGCUGCAGAAGGCCACCUUACUGGGAUCUGCACACAUUAUUUGCCGAUACAUCACACAGCCCUAGACACUUGGGAAGUGUCCGGCGUGUGAUCCAGUACAACAGCCAGCAGAGUGUCUGCUGUGGACUCAUCUUGUUGUGUUUCAAAUAAUAAUAACAAUAAAUCUUUAUUUCUAUCCCACUUUUCUCCCUAAAACAGGACCCAAAGCGGCUUGCAACUUUAUGUAAAAGACUAAAUAAAACAAUGUACAUAUAUAAAACACAACCUAUAAAACAAUUUUACAAUCCGAAAUAAGUAUACAUAUUUAAAAACAUUCAUCUAAUAUGAUUAUUGCAAGCUACUCAACAAGUCAGAUGGUAAAGUUAAUGCGACUUGGAAGUUCACAAAGUAUUGACAAAUAGCAAAUAGAGUGUUCAGUCAAUGUAAUUGUAGUUAUACUUGUUGCUUUGGUGUUUUUUUUUUUGUUUUUUUUUUUAAAUGUUGGUUAUUGAGUGUAAACCCUGUCUAUGCCCAAGUAUCUCAGUACCCCAUUUUGAUGUAUAUAAAUCAGCCAACAAUCAUAGUAUGCAUGCUGUGUAGAAUUAAUGCAGUUUGAUACCACUUUAACUCCCAUGGUUCAAUGCUAUGGAAUUAUAGAAGCUGCAGUUUUAAAAGUCUUUAGCUUUUUCUGCCAAAGAAUAAUGGUGUCUCACCAAACUGUAAAUCACAUGAUUCCAUAACAUUGAAUCAUGACAAAUGAAGUGACAUUGAACUGUACUAAUUCUACAGUGUAGAUGCACCCAUAUAGUAACACUAAUGCUCUGGUUCAUAGGAGUAGUAAUUUUGUUGAAAGAUGCACAUGUGAGCCCAUGGGAUGAUGUUUUAGCACUGAAGUCCAAUUUUGUCUUUAAAGUACCUUCUGUCUAUUUUUAAAAUUAAAGCUAUUAUGUUGAUAUUGAUUUCUUAUGGUAAAAAUGCUAUAUAUUUUAUUAUUUAAUGGUUUUAUGUUCUCAACUCAACCCCUACCUUUCUACCAUGUUUAUGAAUAUACAUAAAGCAUGUGCUGACAGAUUUUGUAAGAACCCAAAGUCAAACAAAAGAGAGUUGGCUGCUGAUAAGUAGUAGUUCCCAAGAAUGCUUUAUAAGGACAAAUCAAGCAAUCAGAGUCAGUAAACACAGUUUUCUUCGUAGCGAUAUCUAUCUUGCUACAGUUCCAAGCUAAAAUGAAUGUUGACUAUUGUGGUGGCGGAAGGGGUUGUGACUUAGGGUUUUUAUUGUUUUUGUGCCUUGCCACUUAAUCCAAUAGGGUUUAUAAAUCUUUAAUUGCUCUAAAUGCUUAAUGAUGACAUGAUGUUCAAAAGGCUGCUUGAAGCAUUUGCAAGCAGGACAGAGUUACAGAUUGAGGAAGAUGUAAAUAAAACAGGGGCAGGCAGAAUCUAUGUGGAGUUUGCUGUAAGAUCGUUAACAUCUGUGAUUUUAAUUAUUAUGACAUCUUAGUCUGUGUCUGUGAGCAAAGUGUGGGGGUAUGGAUAUGGGGGUGUGAGUUUGCAGUUAUGUAAUACUAACUCUCAGGAGAAAUGGGAGUUGGGGAUAAUCUGUCUGAGGGGGUGGAGAUCCACAUUUUGAAAAGAGGAGGUGGUGAGUAGGAGAGGAAUACAAUCAUCAGCAAAAAAAAUUCCUUUUAUUCAGCCUUAAAAUAUUCAGCAGAAAGUGUCAACAUAUGGCUAACAGGGCACUGCUCCUUAUUUGACUGCAAAAGAUGCUUCGGCACACUAGAACUCAAUGCUGGACCACAGCUUCAGAAAAACACUUACCUAUCUUUCUAGCCAAAGUAGGAUAGAAUUUCACAGGCAAGUGAAAUUAGAGCUCAUCUAAACCAGGUUUCAACAAGACAAAAUGUUGCUACUUACUUUUAGUGCAAGGGCCCCACUCUGGGACAUGAUGGAGAAGGAUAUAAAUGGUUUUGUUUUGUGCUGGUAUCUUUUCUAAAACUGCUUCCCCUGUGAUUUAUUGUGUUGUUUUGAUAUUGUUGACUUAUAACAGCCAAAUGAAUUUCAUAUGGUUUCCUUAGGCAAGGACUAAGAUGCUGUGUUAUUACCUUCCUCUGAAAUUUAGUCACCGGUUUCUGGGUUUCCCUGGUGAUCUCCCUCCAAGUUGUAGUAACCAUGGUUGACCUGCAUCUAAAAGCAAAGGAGCCUCCGAUGGCCUAGGGGAUAAAAGCCUUGUGACUUGAAGGUUGGGUUGCUGACCUGAAGGCUGCCAGGUUCGAAUCCCACCCGGGGACAGCGCGGAUGAGCUCCCUCUAUCUG